Molecule: long non-coding RNA, 1368 nt
Filed under: Macaca mulatta (Rhesus monkey)
Lineage: Eukaryota; Metazoa; Chordata; Mammalia; Primates; Cercopithecidae
Description: lncRNA (ENSMMUG00000064641.1)
Source: RNAcentral
AAAUGAGUUAAUAAAGAAUGUUUAGAAUAUCUGGCAUGUAGUGAGUAUUCAAUUAUUAUUACUAUUAUAUAGUAAUAGAGCAAUUAUUAUUACUUUAGGACUUAAAAGCAUCUAAGUUUAGAACAAUUCCUCCCUUAAGAGGAAUUAUGACAAUAGAGAAAGAGUUCAGUAAAUUAUGGCCCAUUGGCUGAGUGGAAUAUUACAUGUCCCCUAAAAAAAUGAUCCUUCCUAUGAGUCUAUAAUAAUUUGGAGAAAUGCUUGUUACGUGAAAACAUAGUAGGCUUUAUAAUCAUACAUACAAUGUCAUCUCAGCUAUACUCAAAAGUCCAAACAAAAAUUAUGCACAGAGUAAAGACUGAAAGGAAUUAUACUAAAAUAUUAACAGCUACCUUUCAUAAUGGAAAAAAAAUGUUUUUUUUCUUCCUCCACAAAGAACGCUCUCAUUAUUAGUGAAUGUCUCUGCAGGGGAGCUGGGCACACCCUAUGCUUUUAUUAGUUAACCUCUUAUCUAGCCAAGGCUUGGCAGGAAAUACAGCAAUGCAAUACAGGGUGGAGGAAUAUGUUUGAAGGGGAGGAGAGAAGAUGAAAGAAGAGAUGCCCAUGGUAUCUACUUUGACUUCACGCCUGUGUCUGUCGGAAAGGGUAUUACUCAUUCAUGAUGGCAGCUGCAAAGACUAUGAUUAAAUUAUUAAUAAACUGCAAAAAUCAUUUCCUGAUCUUCCAUCCCAAGCAGAAAUUCAGCUUUUGUCACACUGACAACAUUUUGACCCUAACUUCUCCUUUAUCUAUGCAUAUUUGGUUGCAGGGAGAAGACAACCUUCCUCUUCUUUGCUGUCUCUUACUCUGUGAUUUUUGUGGCGCCAUCCAAAGGUGAGGCCACUGCUUGAAGAAGGCAGAUUCAAAAGACUCGAGAAAAAAUGGAGUCAGAGCCCGAUCAAACCACAGGUAACGUCUACCCUACCUUUGCUAUUUACAGUUACAUGAGCCAAUACUUUUUAUCUAUUUUUUAAACUAAAUUAUCUUGCUUUUUCUCUUGCUUAUCUGGGAGUUUCCCUUAUAUUAAACAAAUACUUGUAGUAGUUUAGGGAGUAAAAUUCGAAGCCCCCUUUCUUCUCUGUUUUUGUUUUUUGCUUUUUUUCUGAGACAGGGUCUCACUCUGUCAUCCAGGCUGGAGUGCAGUGGCUCAAUCACAGCUCACUGCAGCCUCGACUUUCCCAGCUCAAACGAACUUCCCCCCUCAGCCUCCCAAGUAGCUGGGACUAUAGGCACACACCACCACACUGGCUAAGUAUUUUUGUAGAGAUGAGGAUCUCACUCUGUUGUGUAGGCUGGUCUUGAACUCUGGGGCUCAGGUGAUCCUCUUGCUUU